GCUGGGCAUGGUGGCUCAUGCCUGUAAUCCCAGCACUUUGGGAGGCCGAGGCAGGCGGAUCACCUGAGGUCGGGAGUUCGAGACCAGCCUGACCAACAUGGAGAAACCCUGUCUCUA
Molecule: unclassified non-coding RNA, 117 nt
Organism: Pongo abelii (Sumatran orangutan)
Lineage: Eukaryota; Metazoa; Chordata; Mammalia; Primates; Hominidae
Rfam family: Metazoan signal recognition particle RNA
About the family: The signal recognition particle (SRP) is a universally conserved ribonucleoprotein. It is involved in the co-translational targeting of proteins to membranes. The eukaryotic SRP consists of a 300-nucleotide 7S RNA and six proteins: SRPs 72, 68, 54, 19, 14, and 9.
Source: Ensembl